Molecule: ribosomal RNA, 497 nt
Filed under: uncultured bacterium
Lineage: Bacteria
Description: partial 16S ribosomal RNA
Rfam family: Bacterial small subunit ribosomal RNA
Source: RNAcentral
GAUGAACGCUGGCGGCGUGCCUAAUACAUGCAAGUCGAGCGGACGGACGAGAAGCUUGCUUCUCUGAUGUUAGCGGCGGGCGGGUGAGUAACACGUGGAUAACCUACCUCUAAGACUGGGAUAACUUCGGGAAACCGUAGCUAAUACCGACUAAUAUUUUGAACCGCAUGGUUCAAAAGUGAAAUACGGUCUUGCUGUCACUUAUAGAUGGAUACGCGCUGCAUUAGCUAGUUGGUAAGGUAACGGCUUACCAAGGCAACGAUGCAUAGCCGACCUGAGAGGGUGAUCGGCCACACGGGAGCGGAGACACGGUCCAGACUCCUACGGGAGGCAGCAGUAGGGAAUCUUCCGCAAUGGGCGGAAGCCUGACGGAGCAAAGCCGCGGGAGCGAUGCGGGUCGUCGGAGCGUAAAACUCUGUGACCAGGGAAGAACAUAUGUGUAAGUAACUGUGCACAUUUUGACGGUACCUAAACAGAAAGCAACGGCCAACUACGUG